UGAGGAAUAUUGGACAAUGGGCGCAAGCCUGAUCCAGCCAUGCCGCGUGCAGGAAGACGCAUCUAUGGUGUGUAAACUGCUUUUGUACGGGAAGAAACACUCCUACGUGUAGGAGCUUGACGGUACCGUAAGAAUAAGGAUCGGCUAACUCCGUGCCAGCAGCCGCGGUAAUACGGAGGAUCCAAGCGUUAUCCGGAAUCAUUGGGUUUAAAGGGUCCGUAGGCGGUUUAAUAAGUCAGUGGUGAAAUCUGGUCGCUCAACGAUCAAACGGCCAUUGAUACUGCUAGACUUGAAUUACAAGGAAGUAACUAGAAUAUGUAGUGUAGCGGUGAAAUGCUUAGAUAUUACAUGGAAUACCAAUUGCGAAGGCAGGUUACUACUUGUGGAUUGACGCUGAUGGACGAAAGCGUGGGGAGCGAACAGG
Molecule: ribosomal RNA, 424 nt
Filed under: uncultured bacterium
Lineage: Bacteria
Description: bacterial SSU rRNA
Rfam family: Bacterial small subunit ribosomal RNA
Source: RNAcentral